CCGGGGCUCGCAGCGGCCGCGGCGCUGCCCGAGGACGGGCCCCGCGGGGCUGGAGCGCUUCGUGCCCGCGGUUCCGUUUCCCGGAGCGGUGGCCCGCCCGCUCCCGCUGCCGUUCCCGCCGAGGGGCGGGCGAGGCCCGGGCCCUCCGCUAGAGGGGGGUCUCGCCAUGCCGAUCCGCAGGGCCCCGCCGAGCGCUCCCGGCCCGGCACCGCGCAAUUAACUAUUCAAAUGAAACCUCUGCCGCACCACCUAACUGGGUCCCAGCAGACGCCGGCUGCAUAACCGAGCGCCGCUCCAGGCAGCCCCGGGCCAGCCGGCCAGACUUCGUGAGUCCCCCGAAGAUCUCCGCGGCCACCGCCAGGCACGGCAGCCACCCCCUCACCAAAGCACAACCGCUAAGAAACUGAGGACUUGUUCUGCAAAAGCCCCAAACUGGUGUGCAACAGGAAGAAAACCUCAAAAGUCAGGUAUCACAAACUUCUCAGGCUGACAAGAGCGAGAAGCACGCCCUUUCAGACUGCUCGUCGAUCCUGGAAAUGAGUCCUUGGUACACACAACUGCGUACGGAAAGAAACGUGAUCCACCAGUCUGCUCCGUGAAACAUAUAAACGAUCUUCUAUGUCCUAUUAAUCUUCAGUCACAGAAGGACAGCUGUUUACAGAACCUUCGCCUGGCCAGCUCCAUGAUACGUUAACUUUGUGUAAUCUCUGGUGAUUUGGAGGUUAUAAAGGCACGGAAAGGAAGCGGAAUCUUUCUGGACCUUCUGGCAUCUUAAACCUCCUGAAACGCGGGACUAACACACUGCAAAUACACAUUUCAUCACACGGGGAUUAAAUCUCCUUAUAGCCUCUUUUCAGGAACGGGAAUUUGUGAGAAACCCAACACCAUUUUAUUAUCCAGUUUGGAGGAUGAACUGAGUAACUAAGCAGCCAUCAGACAGCCAAGGGAAUCCAAGAGUGCUUCUGAAAUCCUUGGAUCCCUUGUGACCUUCUUCAUCUGCAACCCAACUCAUUAAUGGGAAAAAGUUGGUGUUUGUGGAGGAAACAGGGCCCUUACAAGAGCUGCAGGGGAAACAUUGCCCAGGAUUCCCAAAGGUGAGCUGAGACCAAGCCAAGCCAGUCUGACUCUCCACAGAGAGCUCGCCCCAGUGGUUUGAACUCAUGAAGUUUUCCAUAACUACACGGACUUUCUCAGCAAAUGCUGUUGAUCUUCAGCUGUUAGCUUAGAACUGCAUGUCUUCUUCCAAAAUGUACAAUAUUCUACUACAGUGUUAAAGAAAAUUUGCCAAGGACUUUUUAACCUUCAAUGCUCUCCACAGCUUGUACUUCUGAAAUAAUAACCAGAGACAUGCACUGAAGUAUUUGCAGUUGCCGUUUCUGUGGCCAGUGGAUCAGACUAACCCAGAAGAUAACCUCCUGUGGGUGAGUGAGUGACAUCCCUGGACUUCUGCUUUGCUCCUCCUGUUUUCAGACUUUGGUUAGCCUGAAAAUUAUGGCAGUUUUAAAGCUGGUGAAAGGCUCAGCUGGCAGCCCUAUGAAAGACAAUCAGUUCAUCCUCAAAGGAACCCUAAUAUAGACACAAGGGAAGAGCCACUUGGACUCUUCCCUUUGCUAUUGCAGAUGUGUGCUGAUGGCACACAAGGUGGUGCACUUCAGACCAUGCAGCUCCUUCAGUGGCCUUGUUAAAGAUGCUCCUGCCGUGAGCAGCAGGUGCCAGGUGUGCCAGCAGGGUGUGGUGUGGACACUGGGGAUGUUAAUAGCUAUUGAGGCAACACUUUCUUUCACAUAUUAAAGGCAUUUUGCUGGCAUGCAGAUAUGCUCGAUCAGGUUCAGCUGUAGGAUGAGGGGAAGAAACAGAUCCAAGCAGUUUGCUCCAUACCUUCCCUUCCCCAGCUGUCUGCUUUCUGGCUUAGAGACUCCAGACUUGGAACAAGAAGGCUGUGUCAUUUUAGUGAUUUUAGGUAAGUGACAAAAAAAAAGAGGCUACAGGGCCUUUAGUUAGGCCUUCAGCUGGCAGCAGCAAAGCAUCUGUAGGCUGGUCCCUGCAGCACGGGACACCCAUCUUCUACCUUCUCUCUGUUCAGCUUCUGAGCAUGUUCUUUUAUGUUUGACUGCUUUUUUCACUGGCAUUUUUGCUUCUUUCUCAUUUCUCUUGACUGCUGUACAUCCUAUUUUAUUAUUUCCUAUUAGUGUCUAUUGUACCUCACUUGGGUUGUUUGGUUUAUUUUUCAUUACUGAUUAAUUCCCAACACUGUAAGGAAAAUAAAUUCAUUGAAGAAACCUGGUUUUUUACCA
This is a long non-coding RNA of Corvus hawaiiensis (hawaiian crow), 2294 nucleotides long. RefSeq lists it as uncharacterized. The record is from RefSeq and is a predicted model, not a curated record. The transcript is spliced from 2 exons. NCBI's taxonomy places the organism in Eukaryota, Metazoa, Chordata, Aves, Passeriformes, Corvidae.